This 253-nucleotide ribosomal RNA is filed under the name uncultured bacterium. RNAcentral describes it as "partial 16S ribosomal RNA". It matches the Rfam family "Bacterial small subunit ribosomal RNA", at positions 524 to 776 of the family's 1533-position model. The record is from RNAcentral.
UACGGAGGAUCCAAGCGUUGUCCGGAUUUAUUGGGUUUAAAGGGUGCGUAGGCGGAUCUUUAAGUCAGUGGUGAAAGCCUGCAGCUCAACUGUAGAACAGCCAUUGAAACUGAAGAUCUUGAAUAUGGUUAAAGUAGGCGGAAUGUAUCAUGUAGCGGUGAAAUGCUUAGAUAUGAUACAGAACACCGAUAGCGAAGGCAGCUUGCUGAACCAUUAUUGACGCUGAGGCACGAAAGCGUGGGGAGCGAACAGG